AUCCAGCUGACGAGUCUCAAAUAGGACGAAGAACGCAUCCUGUAU
Schistosoma curassoni is the source of this 45-nucleotide non-coding RNA. The record is from Rfam. NCBI's taxonomy places the organism in Eukaryota, Metazoa, Platyhelminthes, Trematoda, Strigeidida, Schistosomatidae.